GACGUAGGGGGCCAGCGUUGUUCGGAAUUACUGGGUGUAAAGGGUUCGUAGGCGGUGUGGCAAGUCGGGAGUGAAAUCUCUGGGCUCAACCCAGAGUCUGCUUCCGAAACUGCUGUGCUUGAGUGUGGGAGAGGCGCGUGGAAUUGCAGGUGUAGCGGUGAAAUGCGUAGAUAUCUGCAGGAACACCCGUGGCGAAGGCGGUUCUCUGGGCCUUACCUGACGUUGAGGAGCGAAAGCGUGGGGAGCGAACAGG
This 253-nucleotide ribosomal RNA is filed under the name uncultured bacterium. RNAcentral describes it as "partial 16S ribosomal RNA". It matches the Rfam family "Bacterial small subunit ribosomal RNA", at positions 524 to 776 of the family's 1533-position model. The record is from RNAcentral.